Molecule: long non-coding RNA, 1184 nt
Filed under: Homo sapiens (human)
Lineage: Eukaryota; Metazoa; Chordata; Mammalia; Primates; Hominidae
Description: POT1 antisense RNA 1
Source: RNAcentral
GUACAUUUCCUGAGUCCUCCCCAGCCAUGUGGAACUGUGAGUCAAUUGAACCUCUUUAUAAAUUAAUCAGUCUCAGUUAUUUCUUCAUAGCAUCACAAGCAUAGUGUCUGAAAGGACAACCAGUUUGCAGCACAAGAGAUAUGUCCUGAGAGUUUCUGAAGUUAUUUAACUGGUUCAAUGAGAAUUUAAUCAAGGUCUGCUUUAUAUCAAAAUUUAUGAUUUUUAUUCAAUGCCAUACAUAGAAUUUGUUCACAGUUAUCAUCAAACACACUCAUAGCUAGAGCAUAUUUGCCUGCCACAGUUAGUUUUGUGUUUCCAUGGAAUUUGAGCAAAACUGAUGCACUUGUCUCCCAGGAUUAAUCCAUACAAGUCACCUCUAAAAUUAUCUUUUCCCAUUCGUUGACUGAGCAAAAUGGACUUCAAGGACCUAAAGGAGGUUAAAUACCACAAGAUGGAGGAGCUUGAGUCUCUGAAUCAUUGUGUGUGAAGUCAUCUGCCAAUUACAUAAAUUGAAUUCUUGAUGUAAAGCCUCUGUUAAUACUUUUCCUGUUAACAACCUAACUAUUCAACUGCUGAAUAAAAACCAUUAGGACAACUAAAGAAACUGAGAGAUUUUGGCAAGAAAUAGUCAUUCCAAUAUCAAUGACUACGGAGGAAAUGCAAUUACUUUUCUUUGCUUAAGUUUUCCAGGGCCUUUCUCUGUUGCCCAGGCUGGAGUGCAGUGAGGCAAUCUUGGCUCACCACAAUCUCUCCCUCCUGGAUUCAAGCAAUUCUCCUGCCUCAGCCUCCCGAGUAGCUGGGAUUACAGGCAUGCACCACUACACCCGGAUAAUUUUUGUAUUUUUAGUAGAGAUGGGGUUUUACCAUGUUGGCCAGGCUGGUCUUGAACUCCUGACCUCGUGAUCAGCCUGCCUCGGCCUCCUAAAGUGCUGGGAUUACAUGCAUGAGCCACUGUGCCCUGCCAACUUGUUAAAUUUUUAAUCAUUCUGCUCACCUUUUGCAACCUUACUGACUUUUGUGUCUACCUUAUCUAGCAGUGGCUGAAAUUUCCUUCUAUGAUUAUAGAUUUGUCUGUUAUUUCUUAUAGAUUUCUCAAUAUUGCUUGUAUUAUUAUUUUAAGUUAAUACCAUUAGGCAUAAAAAUUCAAAAUUGUUAUCGCUUACUGAAUAAAUAAAUCUUAAUCU